AAUUUGACACUUUGUUAACUACAACUUGGUUUAAAACUAAUUGCAGUAGUUUGUGAUCUCAAGAGAUCCGGGCAAAGAUACUAAUAAUAAAUGAGAAUACCGGUAUUUGUAGUUCAGGGUUGACACGAGGGGUCCUUGGUGCUCUCUGAGCUUGUUUGUUUUCUUGCAGAUGUUUCAUUACACAACAACAGCACUCUUUACUAGCACCGAUGAGGUUACCUGGUUUCAUUACCUGGGUAAUGAAACAUCUGCAAGAAAACAAGCUCCGAGAGCACCAAGGACCCUGCAAACAUACCAAUAUUCCCUUCAAAAUUUAGAUUGCAUUUCUUUAGGAAAUUAAGUCAAAAGUCCAUGAUUUUUCAUCCCAUUGCAGUUUUAUAUUAAAACGAGAGAAAGUGAGGUAAUAAGAUGUUUAGUAAGAAUUGCCUGCGACAUAUAAUUGUAGCGAAACCCCUUUAGGAACACAUGCCAGCUUUUUAAAAAAAUGCUAUAAAUUCUUGUAUAAUUUCUACAUGAAAAGUUGUAGAAAUUUCUCCCACAGAACUUUCUGUAGCAGCAAAGCAGAGGCUGACAGCGACAGUAUUCGGGCGGAGGUACCUCCGCUUUUUAACGAAAUAAGACCUACAGAAAUGCUCAACAUCAACCUAAUACUGUAAAGUGACCAGUGUCAGAUAAAAACGGAAGCUCGAUCAUUCCGGGAGAGUCGUCGACAGUCCUCGAAUGACUCAAAAACUAGCGGGGUCUCCCUCUCUCACCAGCGCCAGUCACUUUCAGUGUAUGUGUACUCUAGCGGUGGCGGCGGCUGCGGCAGCGAAGGCGAGGAUAGGCAAAUUGCGUAGAACCCGAGUAGGAAGGUUUCCGUGGCUGAGCACAGCAAUUGCGCACGUCCCUUACAAAUAUAUGGAUCACAGAUACUUUGCCUCAGUCUUAUAAGAAAGCCACUGCGCCUGCUUUCCUACAACCCUACAGCUGCAGGGAGAAUAAGCAAACACAGCGGCGGGGCAGAAAGACAACUGCGGUCGAGGCGUGCGAUUUAUUCAUCUGGCACGUGCGGAGAGGCCCGGGCGGAUCAGCUGUAUUUGUUUAAUGAAAGGGGCAAAGAGAAAGGAGGUAAGCAAGCGAGUUGCGCCAGAGAGCGAGAGAAGUUGGGGGGAGAGAGAGACUUAAACGCCGCACGCCAGAAAAGAAAGCUGCAGGUGUCUGCAAGGCGGAGACCAUCGACCGCCCUGGAGCCAUGAAGCCCGGAAUUAGCAAGGGAGGGUGCAUUGAAAAAGCUGGGACGAGGCCGCUUUGCCACACCAGAGGUGCACGUGGCAGCUGCACCAGAGGGAAUGUGGUGUGGGAAGACCCUGAGGAAGGCCCUCAGUGGCGACAGGCCCUUUGCAUCCUGCCCUCAGGCGCAGCUAAAGGCUGGAGGCGGUGGUGGUUCUCUUAUUCCUUCCCUCUCGCUUUUUCUGAGACGCAAGUGAGCCCUCGGACCCCAGUUCCUCUCCCCGAGCGUUUUCCACAUUUGAAGCCCUCCAGUUCUCUUGUGCUGGUUUGGGACUGGCGUCAGAGGCAGGUCUCCCUUAAUAUGAGAGCAAAAAGAAGGCCACUGCUAUUCUCAGCUCCUCCCUUUGAAGAGGCUCCCAUUUCCCCUGUUGAUUAGAAUAACCAUAUUGGAAUCUUGGUAUGAUACUUUUCAAUGGCGCUUUUUGCAUCAAACCCUAGUCCUGAGCCCUACUCAGUUGAAUGGAAAAUGAAGCCUCCAACUCUUGUCAAGUUUUUUAAAAAGGGGAAAUUGGGUUAGAUUUUGUUGAGAGGUUAAUCAUAAACAGUUGGGGGGAGGUGUUGCCCUAAUUUUUUUGGGGGUGGGUGGGUCUUAAUUUCAGUGUCAUCUUCCGUUUGUGUGUGUGUGUGU
Long non-coding RNA from Thamnophis elegans (Western terrestrial garter snake), 1900 nucleotides. RefSeq lists it as uncharacterized. The record is from RefSeq and is a predicted model, not a curated record. NCBI's taxonomy places the organism in Eukaryota, Metazoa, Chordata, Lepidosauria, Squamata, Natricidae. The transcript has 3 exons.